GUGAGAUAGACAAACAUCGUGUUGAAUAUAAUACAGGUAUCAAGAUGGUAAUUUAUACCGGAGCUUGAAAACUAUUUUAUUCUUCGAAUGCCUUCUUUGGUGGACAUACCAACAAUAUUAGAAUCCUAUAAAACAGUUGAUAAGAAAACAUUCUUCAAAACUGCAGAUAUAUGUCAGAUGCUUGUUUGUUCAAAUUAAGGAGAAGACAGCGGAAGUGGUCGAUAUGAAAAACCUCAAAAAACACUGGCAAAGUCAACAAGUAGUUUCUACAUUAACUAACACCUCUACUAAAGAAUGUGAGAAAACAAAGGUUCAGGAAAACAGUGAAGAAAAAG
This is a long non-coding RNA of Anneissia japonica, 335 nucleotides long. RefSeq lists it as uncharacterized. The transcript has 4 exons. The record is from RefSeq and is a predicted model, not a curated record. NCBI's taxonomy places the organism in Eukaryota, Metazoa, Echinodermata, Crinoidea, Comatulida, Comatulidae.